Molecule: ribosomal RNA, 411 nt
Filed under: uncultured bacterium
Lineage: Bacteria
Description: bacterial SSU rRNA
Rfam family: Bacterial small subunit ribosomal RNA
Source: RNAcentral
GUGCCAGCAGCCGCGGUAAUACGUAGGGUGCAAGCGUUAAUCGGAAUUACUGGGCGUAAAGCGUGCGCAGGCGGCUUUGCAAGACAGAUGUGAAAUCCCCGGGCUCAACCUGGGAACUGCAUUUGUGACUGCAUGGCUAGAGUGCGGCAGAGGGGGAUGGAAUUCCGCGUGUAGCAGUGAAAUGCGUAGAUAUGCGGAGGAACACCGAUGGCGAAGGCAAUCCCCUGGGCCUGCACUGACGCUCAUGCACGAAAGCGUGGGGAGCAAACAGGAUUAGAUACCCUGGUAGUCCACGCCCUAAACGAUGUCAACUGGUUGUUGGACGGCUUGCUGUUCAGUAACGAAGCUAACGCGUGAAGUUGACCGCCUGGGGAGUACGGCCGCAAGGUUGAAACUUAAAGAAAUUGGCGG